Molecule: ribosomal RNA, 1481 nt
Filed under: Colletotrichum gloeosporioides
Lineage: Eukaryota; Fungi; Ascomycota; Sordariomycetes; Glomerellales; Glomerellaceae
Description: SSU rRNA
Rfam family: Bacterial small subunit ribosomal RNA
Source: RNAcentral
AUAUAGAUGAGUUUGGUGAUGGCUCUGAAUGAAUGCUGUCCAAAUGCUUGACACAUGCUAAUCGCACGAUUAAUUUAAUGAAUAAUUUUAUUAAUAAGUGGUGUACAGGUGAGUAUAUGAUAUUUUUACUACCUUAAAGUGAGGGAUAAAAUCCCACAUAAUAAUAAAGGCAUAUAAGCCGCUUUAGGAUGAAGAUUAAUAUCGUCGAGAUAGGUAGUAGUAAAGGUUAUGUCUUCACUAGCCUAAAACUCUCGUAACCGUAACUGAGAGGUUGAUCGGUCACAUUGGGUCUGAAAAAAGCCCAAUGCAAAGUUAGUACAGCAGUGGGGAAUUUUGGUCAAUGGCCUAAGGGCUGAACUGGCAAUUUGGGUAAACGAAACAGAAUUGUAACUUACUAAAAUAAAGUUUUAAGUACGUAUUAAUAAUGAUAAUAUGUAUAAAAGUCUUGACCAAUUACGUGCCAGCAGUCGCGGUAAUACGUAGGAGACGAGCAUUAUUCAUAUUAAAUAGGUUUAAAGGGUACCCAAACGGUCAAAAUACCUGAAAUAUAGGAGUACUUGACUAGAGUUAUAUGUAAGAAGACCGUACUUGAGGUGGAGAGAUUAUAUUUUAUGAUACCAAAAGGACUGAUAACGGCGAAGGCUGUCUUUUAUGUAAUAACUGACGUUGAAGGACGAAGGCAUAGAUAACUAACAGGAUUCGUUACCCUAGUAGUCUUUGCAGACAAUGAUGAAUGCCAUUAACUAGAUACUAAUUUUAGUUAUAUAAAUGAAAAUGAAAGCAUUUCACCUCAAGAGUAAUGUGGCAACGCAGGAACUGAAAUCACUAGACCGUUUCUGACACCAGUAGUGAAGUAUGUUAUUUAAUUCGAUGAUCCACGAAAAACCUUACCACAACUUGAAUAUUUAUGGCGCCGCCAUAAAAACAGGAGUUGCACGGCUGUUUUCAGUUAAUGUUGUGAAACUGUGGUUUUUCCAUGAAAUUAACAGAAUCCUUUGCUUUAUUUAUAAAAUGUUUUAUAAAGCAAUCUUUCUUUAUAGUAGUAAAGAUAAGAAGGAAAAAGACAAGUCAUCAUGGCCCUUAUGUUGUGGGCUAUAGACGUGCCACGUAGUCCUUAACAAAGAGAUGCAAAAAUGUGAAUUUUAGCUAAUCUCAAAAAAGAGGAUAUAAAUUAUACAAGGAUUGUAGUCUGAAACUCGACUAUAUGAAUAAGUAAUUACUAGUAAUCGUGAAUCACCAUGUCACGGUGAAUUUUAUCUCGGAUUGGUACUAACCACUCGUCGCAUGCUGAAAGGAGCCCGCGCAAUAAGUUUGCUUUUUUGUUAUAAUCACUUUUAACGGCUAUAAUCUGCCAAAACCAGCUUAUCUAGCUUAAACAGGAUUAAAAUAUUAUAAUAGAAUUCUUCGUAUGCGUGACUCUAAUUAGUGUUAAGUCGAAAUAUGGUUCGUGUAGUGGAAGUUGCACGGGGUAAUAAACUUAA